UACGGAGGAUGCGAGCGUUAUCCGGAUUUAUUGGGUUUAAAGGGUGCGUAGGCGGGCUUUUAAGUCAGCGGUAAAAAUUCGGGGCUCAACCCCGUCCGGCCGUUGAAACUGGGGGCCUUGAGUGGGCGAGAAGUACGCGGAAUGCGCGGUGUAGCGGUGAAAUGCAUAGAUAUCACGAAGAACUCCGAUUGCGAAGGCAGCUUACCAGUCUGCGACUGACGCUCAGGCACGAAAGUGUGGGUAUCGAACAGG
RNAcentral lists this ribosomal RNA (252 nucleotides) under uncultured Bacteroidales bacterium. Its description in RNAcentral is "partial 16S ribosomal RNA". It matches the Rfam family "Bacterial small subunit ribosomal RNA", at positions 524 to 776 of the family's 1533-position model. Lineage: Bacteria; Pseudomonadati; Bacteroidota; Bacteroidia; Bacteroidales. The record is from RNAcentral.